GACGAACGCUGGCGGCGUGCUUAACACAUGCAAGUCGAACGGAAAGGCCCUGCUUUUGUGGGGUGCUCGAGUGGCGAACGGGUGAGUAACACGUGAGUAACCUGCCCUUGACUUUGGGAUAACUUCAGGAAACUGGGGCUAAUACCGGAUAGGAGCUCCUGCUGCAUGGUGGGGGUUGGAAAGUUUCGGCGGUUGGGGAUGGACUCGCGGCUUAUCAGCUUGUUGGUGGGGUAGUGGCUUACCAAGGCUUUGACGGGUAGCCGGCCUGAGAGGGUGACCGGCCACAUUGGGACUGAGAUACGGCCCAGACUCCUACGUGAGGCAGCAGUGGGGAAUAUUGCACAAUGGGCGGAAGCCUGAUGCAGCAACGCCGCGUGCGGGAUGACGUCCUUCGGGUUGUAAACCGCUUUCGCCUGUGACGAAGCGUGAGUGACGGUAAUGAGUAAAGAAGCACCGGCUAACUACGUG
Molecule: ribosomal RNA, 468 nt
Filed under: uncultured bacterium
Lineage: Bacteria
Description: partial 16S ribosomal RNA
Rfam family: Bacterial small subunit ribosomal RNA
Source: RNAcentral